This 467-nucleotide ribosomal RNA is filed under the name uncultured Pelotomaculum sp. RNAcentral's name for it is "bacterial SSU rRNA". It matches the Rfam family "Bacterial small subunit ribosomal RNA", at positions 917 to 1381 of the family's 1533-position model. Lineage: Bacteria; Bacillati; Bacillota; Clostridia; Eubacteriales; Desulfotomaculaceae. The record is from RNAcentral.
ACGGGGCCGCACAAGCGGUGGAGCAUGUGGUUAAUUCGACGCAACGCGAAGAACCUUACCAGGGCUUGACAUCCCCUGACCGCGUAUGAAAGUACGUUUUCACCCUCGGGUGACAGGGAGACAGGUGGUGCAUGGUUGUCGUCAGCUCGUGUCGUGAGAUGUUGGGUUAAGUCCCGCAACGAGCGCAACCCCUACGUUUAGUUGCUAACGCGUGAAGGCGAGCACUCUAGACGAACUGCCGUUGACAAAACGGAGGAAGUGGGAUGACGUCAAAUCAUCAUGCCCCUUAUGUUCUGGGCUACACACGUGCUACAAUGGCCGGUACAGACGGACGCAAAGCCGCGAGGUGGAGCAAAUCCUAAAAAGCCGGUCUCAGUUCGGAUUGCAGGCUGCAAUUCGCCUGCAUGAAGUCGGAAUCGCUAGUAAUCGCAGGUCAGCAUACUGCGGUGAAUACGUUCCCGGGCCUU